This 165-nucleotide ribosomal RNA is filed under the name uncultured bacterium. RNAcentral describes it as "partial 16S rRNA". It matches the Rfam family "Bacterial small subunit ribosomal RNA", at positions 355 to 511 of the family's 1533-position model. The record is from RNAcentral.
UAGGGAAUCUUCGGCAAUGGGGGCGAACCCUCGACCGACGCAACGCCGCGUGAGUGAAGAAGGUUUCGGAUCGUAAACUCUGUUGUUAGAGAAGAACACGAGUGAGAGUAACUGUUCAUUCGAUGACGGUAUCUAACCAGCAAGUCACGGCUAACUACGUGCCAG